UAAACGACUCUCGGCAACGGAUAUCUCGGCUCACGCAUCGAUGAAAAACGUAGCAAAAUGCGAUACUUGGUGUGAAUUGCAGAAUCCCGUGAACCAUCGAGUUUUUGAACGCAAGUUGCGCCCGAAGCCGUUCGGCCGAGGGCACGUCUGCCUGGGCGUCACGC
RNAcentral lists this ribosomal RNA (164 nucleotides) under Centaurea horrida. RNAcentral describes it as "5.8S ribosomal RNA". It matches the Rfam family "5.8S ribosomal RNA". From Rfam's summary of the family: 5.8S ribosomal RNA (5.8S rRNA) is a component of the large subunit of the eukaryotic ribosome. It is transcribed by RNA polymerase I as part of the 45S precursor that also contains 18S and 28S rRNA. The record is from RNAcentral. Lineage: Eukaryota; Viridiplantae; Streptophyta; Magnoliopsida; Asterales; Asteraceae.